This 440-nucleotide ribosomal RNA is filed under the name uncultured bacterium. Its description in RNAcentral is "partial 16S ribosomal RNA". It matches the Rfam family "Bacterial small subunit ribosomal RNA", at positions 338 to 795 of the family's 1533-position model. The record is from RNAcentral.
CCUACGGGGGGCAGCAGUGGGGAAUAUUGCUCAAUGGGGGAAAGCCUGAAGCAGCAACGCCGCGUGAAGGAUGAAGGUUUUCGGAUUGUAAACCCCUUUUGGUAGAGAAGAUAAUGACGGUAUCUAACGAAUAAGCACUGGCUAACUCCGUGCCAGCAGCCGCCGGAAUACGCAGGGCGCACGGGUUACUCGGAAUGACUGGGCGUAAAGAGCGCGUAGGCGGGAUAGCAAGUCAGAUGUGAAAUCCUAUGGCUUAACCAUAGAACUGCAUUUGAAACUGUUAUUCUAGAGUAUGGGAGAGGUAGGUGGAAUUCUUGGUGUAGGGGUAAAAUCCGUAGAGAUCAAGAGGAAUACUCAUUGCGAAGGCGACCUGCUAGAACAUAACUGACGCUGAUGCGCGAAAGCGUGGGGAGCAAACAGGAUUAGAUACCCCAGUAGUC